GGGGGUGUAGCUCAGUGGUAGAGCGCGUGCUUAGCAUGCACGAGGUCCUGGGUUCAAUCCCCAGUACCUCCA
RNAcentral lists this transfer RNA (72 nucleotides) under Heterocephalus glaber (naked mole-rat). RNAcentral describes it as "tRNA-Ala (AGC) (tRNA-Ala-AGC-4-1)". It matches the Rfam family "tRNA". Rfam says of the family: Transfer RNA (tRNA) molecules are approximately 80 nucleotides in length. Their secondary structure includes four short double-helical elements and three loops (D, anti-codon, and T loops). The record is from Rfam by way of RNAcentral. RNAcentral also lists the same sequence under 2 other names. Lineage: Eukaryota; Metazoa; Chordata; Mammalia; Rodentia; Bathyergidae.